UACGACCAUAUCACGUUGAAACACCUGUUCCCGUAUGAUCACUGAAAAUAAGCAAGCAAUGUUAACCCUGGUUAGUACCUAGUUGGGUAACCGCUUGGGAAUAAAAGCUGCUGUAAU
This is a non-coding RNA of Acanthosepion pharaonis, 117 nucleotides long. The record is from the annotation of a GenBank genome assembly. Lineage: Eukaryota; Metazoa; Mollusca; Cephalopoda; Sepiida; Sepiidae.